GCGCACGUGGCGAAAUUGGUAGACGCACUGUCUUCAGGCGGCAGCGCCCUUGGCGUGGAAGUUCGAAUCUUCUCGUGCGCA
RNAcentral lists this transfer RNA (81 nucleotides) under Mariniradius saccharolyticus AK6. It matches the Rfam family "tRNA". From Rfam's summary of the family: Transfer RNA (tRNA) molecules are approximately 80 nucleotides in length. Their secondary structure includes four short double-helical elements and three loops (D, anti-codon, and T loops). Further hydrogen bonds mediate the characteristic L-shaped molecular structure. tRNAs have two regions of fundamental functional importance: the anti-codon, which is responsible for specific mRNA codon recognition, and the 3' end, to which the tRNAs corresponding amino acid is attached (by aminoacyl-tRNA synthetases). tRNAs cope with the degeneracy of the genetic code in two manners: having more than one tRNA (with a specific anti-codon) for a particular amino acid; and 'wobble' base-pairing, i.e. permitting non-standard base-pairing at the 3rd anti-codon position. Lineage: Bacteria; Pseudomonadati; Bacteroidota; Cytophagia; Cytophagales; Cyclobacteriaceae. The record is from Rfam by way of RNAcentral. RNAcentral also lists the same sequence under 1 other name.